UUUCCCUAGCAACGGGAGGAGAAAGGCUGCUUAGACACUCGCGAGCCCCAGCGUUCUCCUGGAACGUGCCCCGGCUCCGUAGCGUGGCAGCCACUCGGCAUCUUCCCGUGGCUCCGUCAGCAGCCAAAAGGAGAAGGGUCCAUCGGAAAAAUGGCAUAUUACAAAUUUUGCUUUGGGAAGCAGAGCUCGGCUCAGACCAUUGUCAAAGGGAAGAGAGGGGGAGGCGGUUCUUAAAGCAGCCGCGGCCCCUUUGCCGCCCAGCAGCAGCAGCAGCAGCAGCAGCAGCAGCAGCAGCAGCUCUGGAGCGUGCAGCGGAGCCCCCGGGGCGGAGAGCUGGUAAUCCGGGACUGGAUCUGACUUUCAGAAACUUAACCUAGCACAACUGCUCCCCGCGGUCUCCCGGGCCACCCAGCGGGUGAAGAAGCGUCCCUUCAAACGCGAACUUCGGGGUGAAGUGUGGGAAAGUACAUCUCUGGAAGGGAAAUUCUCCACCCAAUAACCCACCCGGAGUCACAGGGGAGUUUAUGAACAUGAACAUCUUCCAAUCACAAAACAUGGAAAUACCUAUGAAGAUGGUAUCCACCUUGAAAUUUCUCUGCCAUUGAGUGAAUUAAGGUCACAUUUUUUCAUUUGCAUCCUCUGGGACAGUAGGAGGGCAAGGAUGAAGACAUGACCAGGAACAUGGAAGCAACAAAUCCUGCGGAGUUUCCUGUGUCUAUUAGAUGUUCUUGUGAAACAGCUUGGAGAAAGCCCAGUAUGACCCCUCUCUGGCCUGCAGCUAAGCUACAUGUUUCAAUUGUCAGAGCUUCCUUGGCCUUCUUUUAUUAAAUUCAACACUGGCACCAGGGUGUGAAGUUGCUCGGGAAAUCAUUGAUGCCAGUGAUGUGCAACGGAGAAAGGACAGCAUCUUCCACAAAUGGUGCCAGGAAAACUGGAUACUAUAUGAAGGAGGAUAAAACUAGAUUCUCAUGCCACCCUUCACAAAACUCAACUCUAAGUGGGUCCAGGACUUCAAAGAUCUGAUACCUUAACAGUGUUAGAGAAGAAACUAGGGAAAACUCUUCAAAUAAUAGGCAUAGGUAAACACUUUAUGCACAGAACUCCAAUAGCACAAGUGUUAACAACAAAUGAAUGGAGCCUCCUAAAACUGAAAGGCAUCUGGACAGAAAAAGACAGCAUCACUUGAGUGAAGAAUGGGCCUACAGAAUGGGGCUUCUUUUUCCAGAAGAGUCUAUGUUGGCUUAUGAUUCCACAGGGGAUAUCCACAACUCCAGGGAUAGGCACGGUGGCAGCAGGUAAGCUGAAGCAGGACAUUAAGAGAUCACAUCUUCAACCACAAACCCCACACAGAGCAAACUACAAGUGGGAGAAGCUACAAACUCUCAAAAUGCACUCUCGAGGACAUAGAUCUUCCAACAGAGAAGAAUUGGGAGAAGAUUUACCAGGUAUAUGCCUGGCAGAGGAAUAGACUCUAGAAUAUACAAAGGGGA
This is a long non-coding RNA of Peromyscus eremicus (cactus mouse), 1490 nucleotides long. RefSeq lists it as uncharacterized. The record is from RefSeq and is a predicted model, not a curated record. NCBI's taxonomy places the organism in Eukaryota, Metazoa, Chordata, Mammalia, Rodentia, Cricetidae. The transcript is spliced from 4 exons.